Long non-coding RNA from Ziziphus jujuba (common jujube), 1088 nucleotides. RefSeq lists it as uncharacterized. The record is from RefSeq and is a predicted model, not a curated record. NCBI's taxonomy places the organism in Eukaryota, Viridiplantae, Streptophyta, Magnoliopsida, Rosales, Rhamnaceae. The transcript is spliced from 2 exons.
UAGAUCAUUAGUAGCCAUGGUUUAGACAAUCCGAAAAAGAAUUCAUGUAACAUCCAGCCCACUGUCCCAAUUCUCUUUCCCUAUAAUGCAUGAGAGCAUGCAGGAUCCAUAUCAAGGCGCGAAAUUAGACUGUUAGGACUCGAACUCAUAAAUACUACAAACAGAUAUGAUGGGAUCCAUAUCAAGGCGCGAAAUUAGACUGUUAGGACUCGAACUCAUAAAUACUACAAACAGAUAUGAUGGGAUCCAUAUCAAGGCGCGAAAUUAGACUGUUAGGACUCGAACUCAUAAAUACUACAAACAGAUAUGAUAGAAAGUCAAUGCCUAACACUUUCGUCACCCCUUGGGUGUACAUGAAUUUUCUAUCUCGAAAAUCAGUAAAGAAUUGUUUUCUAUAUGUGUAUGAGUUUACUAAAGAAAUAGAAUUUAAGAACUAAAAUAAAAAAUAAAAAAAUAAACCCUUUAGGUGUGGUUGUUGGAACUUGUCAACGGAGCAUUGACUGAAAAUGAAUGAUAAUUUUUUUUUUUUAUAUAUAAUUUGUCAUGCGCUCAGUGAGGUUAUGGAGAAUAGAGGAAAGGGCAAUGGUGAAUCUCAGAGAGCUUGAGAUUGUGGAGUGCAAGCGCUUGACGAUUGUUCCAAGAGGCUUAUGGCCUGUAACUUCUCUAUGCAGCUUGAAGUUGGGGUUUAUGGCUCAUGAUUUUGAAGUGAAGGUUCAAGAACGCCUAGGGGAGAAUUGGUAUACAAUAGACCAUGUACUUCCUAUAUAAGGAUUAUGCAGGACGCUUUUGACAAUAAAUAUUGCAAAAAGGGUGAGUCGGAUACACUACCAAAAUCACCACAUGAAGCCAGGUAUUCAAACUCUGGCGGUUUGAUUAAUACUAUCUCAUCCUCAAUCACUUGCUCGAUGGCUUUAGCUUAUCUAGAUACUUGGUUUAUCAUAUGUUAUGGAAUACUUAUUUUUUUGGUGAAUACUUGAUUAUCACUUGUUGAAACCCAUUGUAUCUUUUAUAUAAACAUAUCAUGUAAUCUUCCUUCAGAUAAUUAGCUAUAAUGCUGGGAAGUGUGAUAAUUUUGAAUUUUUUGGUAA